UACGUAGGUGACAAGCGUUGUCCGGAAUUACUGGGCGUAAAGCGUGCGCAGGCGGUUCGCCAAGUCAGGUGUGAAAUCCCCGGGCUUAACCUGGGAAUUGCGCUUGAAACUAGCGGGCUUGAGUGCGGCAGAGGGGGGUGGAAUUCCACGUGUAGCAGUGAAAUGCGUAGAGAUGUGGAGGAACACCGAUGGCGAAGGCAGCCCCCUGGGUCGACACUGACGCUCAUGCACGAAAGCGUGGGGAGCAAACAGG
Molecule: ribosomal RNA, 253 nt
Filed under: uncultured bacterium
Lineage: Bacteria
Description: partial 16S ribosomal RNA
Rfam family: Bacterial small subunit ribosomal RNA
Source: RNAcentral